GUCCCUGUAGUGCAAUGGAUAGCACGUUGGACUUCUAAUCCAGAGGUCGGGGGUUCGGAUCCCACCUGGGAUG
Molecule: transfer RNA, 73 nt
Filed under: Trichonephila inaurata madagascariensis
Lineage: Eukaryota; Metazoa; Arthropoda; Arachnida; Araneae; Nephilidae
Rfam family: tRNA
About the family: Transfer RNA (tRNA) molecules are approximately 80 nucleotides in length. Their secondary structure includes four short double-helical elements and three loops (D, anti-codon, and T loops).
Source: Rfam by way of RNAcentral